Non-coding RNA from Arachis ipaensis, 407 nucleotides. NCBI's taxonomy places the organism in Eukaryota, Viridiplantae, Streptophyta, Magnoliopsida, Fabales, Fabaceae. The record is from RefSeq and is a predicted model, not a curated record.
ACCGUCACUGCUACCGCCGGCAACUCCACUGCCGGUAAGGGCUUAAGUUGGUCUUCGUUUCCUUUGCGUUUCCGGAAGCUUCAUUGUAGUUGUAUGUUAGUUUCAGUAUCGUCGCCAGAGAUCUGGUUGCCGCCGCCACUCGAGGUGGUUGCCGGGGCUGCCGCCAAUCCGGUUCAGGGAACGCUGCAGUUUCAUUUUCCUAGUUCGGUUAUUCUUUUUCAGGAUAUGGAAGACGAAGCUUCAGGAGAGUUAUGUUUAUUUUCUGUUUAUUCGGUCUUUUUGUAUUACCGUAGCUAUUAUUUUUCCCUCACCUUUAUCUUUAUGAAGCUUGUAAGAGGGAUAGGAAAUUAUGAUAUGUAUAAUUGUAAACUAGUGUUAUGUAUAUGUAUAUAUAUAUCUUAAGGUUA